This 486-nucleotide ribosomal RNA is filed under the name uncultured bacterium. RNAcentral describes it as "partial 16S ribosomal RNA". It matches the Rfam family "Bacterial small subunit ribosomal RNA", at positions 28 to 507 of the family's 1533-position model. The record is from RNAcentral.
GACGAACGCUGGCGGCGUGCUUAACACAUGCAAGUCGAACGGGCUCUGUCUGGCUGUGUGCUGGGUGGGGUUAGUGGCGAACGGGUGAGUAAUACGUGAGUAACCUGCCCUCUUCUUUGGGAUAAGCCUUGGAAACGGGGUCUAAUACUGGAUAUUCCUGUCUGGUCGCAUGGCUGGGUGGGGAAAGUUUUUUCGGUGGGGGAUGGGCUCGCGGCCUAUCAGCUUGUUGGUGGGGUGAUGGCCUACCAAGGCGUCGACGGGUAGCCGGCCUGAGAGGGUGACCUGCCACACUGGGACUGAGCUACGGCCCAGCCUCCUACGGGAGGCGGCAGUGGGGGAUAUUGCACGAUGGGCGCAAGCCUGAUGCAGCGACGCCGCGUGGGGGAUGACGGCUUUCGGGUUGUAAACCUCUUUCGUCGGGGGACAAGGCUCUGCUUGGUGGUGGGGUUGAGGGUACCCGGUGAAGAAGCGCCGGCUAACUACGUG